Spinacia oleracea (spinach) is the source of this 1674-nucleotide long non-coding RNA. RefSeq lists it as uncharacterized. The transcript has 3 exons. NCBI's taxonomy places the organism in Eukaryota, Viridiplantae, Streptophyta, Magnoliopsida, Caryophyllales, Amaranthaceae. The record is from RefSeq and is a predicted model, not a curated record.
CCAUCUAGACUUCUCAUAAAAAAUAAAAAAUAAAAAUAAACCCUUGAUCUACCCUCAAACCCUCGUGGCCUCGUCAACCUCUGUCCCUCAAACCCAGCUACAGCCGCUUCCUUCUGUCCUCCAUAUUCUUCACAAUUCACAGCAAAGCACAUUUUACUCUCAUCUCUUCCAUCACUCUUUCGAUCGAUCUUCUACAUAUCUCAAGGAUGACCAAUUCUUCCAGUGGACCCCAAGCAUCUUCAACGCCUGUAGGCUCUUCAAGAGUAGAGGAGUUUAAUGUGAAUCCUGAGGAUUUGUUUCCUAGGGAACCAAAUGAAGAUGCAGGUGAAUAUGUGAAUAUAGCAGGUGGUGAGAACACUCACAAUACCACAUCAAAAGAAACAGAGGUAGAAAACUCAUUCCAAGCUUACAAGAAACCAAGAAGAUCAAAAGUCUGGAAUGAUUUUCUUGGACCUGAAUUAAUCAAAGGGAAAUGGAAAGUAAGGUGUAAGUAUUACAACAGUCCUCUUUCGAUCUUGGCAUCUAAAAGUACUAGUCAUUUGAGUCUGACAUGUUUGUCCAAAUAAGACAUUUCAUAUGAAACAACAACAAUUAAUUAACUUUAUGCCAUCUGAUUCAAGUGCUGUUGCAAACCAUUGUGAAUUUGUUAGUGCUUUGCAUAAUGGUAAAUUUGACAUGAUAAAGACGAGAGAGGGGAUAGCACAUUGGAUCACCAUGCAUGAGGAUCCUUUCACUACUGUAGAAGAGGAGGGAUUUAAUUUGAUGCUAAAGCGGGGAAUACCACAAUGGACAAGUGUGUCUCGUCACACUAUAAGAACAAACUCCUUCAAAGUGUGCGAUAUUGAGAAGAAGAAACUGAAAGAAUUAUUUAAAACAACAGAUCGAAUUAGUUUGACUACAGAUUUUUGGCGAUCAAGGCCUCAAAAGAUCGAAUACAUGGUUUUAACAGUUCAUUUUGUGGAUCCGAAUGGAAGCUUCAGAAAUGGGGGCUCAAUUUUUUUCACUUGCCUCUUCCACGUAAACGUCCUAAUAUAGCUGAUUGCAUCUUAACAUGUUUAAGAGAGUGGGAAAUUGAAGACAAAAUUUUCACAAUCUCGGUGGACAAUGCAACUGCAAAUGAUUUUUGUAUUCAGAUUUUGAAGGAUAAUUUUGCAUCUAAUGGAAGGCUGUUAUGCAAUGGAAGGUUAUUUUAUGUGCGUUGUUGUGCACAUAUCCUCAACAUAAUGGUUCAACAUGGGCUUCAACAAAUUAAGAGAAUCAUUGAAAUAGUACAUGACAACGUAGACUUUUUGAACUCAAGUGAAGCACGACUUAAACGGAUUGGUGAUCUUGUUAGCCAAUACAACUUGCAAUCACGAAAACUAGUCCUUGAAUGAAAGACUAGCUGGAAUAAAACUUAUGAUAUGUUGGAUUGUGCUAUCAAGUUUAGAAAGGUAUUUCCUAGAUAUGUUUUACAUGAUAAUAGUUAUCAUUGGUGUCCUGAUGAUGAUGAAUGUGAAAAGAUUGAAAAAUUGCUUCAAGUCUUAACAGUUUUUAAAGACACUACUAACAUCAUAUCAGGUUCGGAAUAUCCAACUUCUAACUUGUUUCUUAGUGAGGUGCAUAGAGCUAAAGUCUUGUUGGAUCAAAAAGCUGAGUCUCCUGAUGAUUUUGUUAAGAGUAUGGUUCAUAACA